Molecule: long non-coding RNA, 463 nt
Organism: Aplysia californica (California sea hare)
Lineage: Eukaryota; Metazoa; Mollusca; Gastropoda; Aplysiida; Aplysiidae
Exons: 2
Source: RefSeq, a predicted model, not a curated record
CACACACACAAUCACACACACAUAUACACACACAAACGCACACAUCGGCGACUUGCUUUUGGCGGAGAUGACUAGUGAGAGAUAUUUCACUCGUCAGCUGGCCCCUCUUCGCAUCAUGUUAUUGACGCGAGAUCAGUGACGCAGUGCCUCAAAAGUAUGUCACGCCGUACAUUUCAUAGUCUGUUCCUCUCAAAGUCACUUCCCCUUGUUAUUUCCUAUAGGGACAGAAGGACGGACGAGGAGUCAUCUCAGUCAAUACGUCGGAAGUAGUGGUGUAUUAUCUUAAACUGCAGCAGCUGUUUUAAGGCAGGAACAGAAAGCGAGCAAAAAACCCGACGAGAUAACGGGGUGACCAAAAACAACGCUCAACAGUAUGCCCACUGCAGACAGACAGUCGAAGUCGGUUGAUCUGAAGCGAGGCCAUUAAAUUCAGAUUUUUUUCUCCUUUGAGAAGCAAAAGCUA